AUUCCCAAGGCGGAAAAAGAGAGGCAGUGCGUGGAGGAAGCUCCUAGCCCCGGAGUUCGCGGUCCAGGGAUCUUCUGUCGGUACCAGACCGGUUGGCAGGUGGACACGUGAGAAACAUUUCAGGAGUGUCAGAGCCACAGUCUGAUCCCUUCAUCCUGGGCUUGAAGGGGUGGGGAGGAGGCUUUGGGUGAGUUUCUGGAGUUAAUCAGCACAAGCUCUGUGAGUGACUCCUGAAUCACACACAAUCCCCGGUGCCAACGAUGUACUAAGUGUUCACUGAGUCACUUCUCUGGUCCCUGAGGACUCACAAGCCAAGAGACUCCAAACCCAGUUGGCAAGUGGUAUAGCGGCAAAAGGGAGACCCGUGGAGUUACUCAACCUUCGCAGGAUGCAAGCCCCAAAGGCUGGCCCCGCAGCCUCCCAGCGUGUCCUUUUCCCCAUCCAUCCUGAAGUCCCCCUUCCUGUCUGCACAGGGCCCAGGUCCUGGGGAAACAGGUCUUGCUCUUGAAAGUGGAGUUCUUUCCCAUCCUGACUGGUCUGUCCCGGUGACCUUGAGCCAGGAGGAGGAGGACUCCUCCCUGAGCCCAAGCUUUCUCCUCUGUCGUUUAGGCAGAAUGAUCCCAAUGGACUCAAAUUUCAUCCCGAGCCUUCUCUGACUCAGUCUUUCUGGUUUUUCCCUCCCUUGUCCUCUUGCCCAGGGCUUUAUACACAGCAGCGCAGAACAGUGAGCAUAUGGGAUGGCGUUGGUGUCCCAUACGGGACCUAGCACUCUGGGAAUACAACAGCAGAUCAAAUCAGUUUGUG
This 804-nucleotide long non-coding RNA is filed under the name Homo sapiens (human). RNAcentral's name for it is "HSALNT0228279". Lineage: Eukaryota; Metazoa; Chordata; Mammalia; Primates; Hominidae. The record is from RNAcentral.